RNAcentral lists this ribosomal RNA (439 nucleotides) under Bacillus sp. CSu2_2. Its description in RNAcentral is "bacterial SSU rRNA". It matches the Rfam family "Bacterial small subunit ribosomal RNA", at positions 104 to 528 of the family's 1533-position model. The record is from RNAcentral. Lineage: Bacteria; Bacillati; Bacillota; Bacilli; Caryophanales; Bacillaceae.
GGGUGAGUAACACGUGGGGCAACCUGGCCUGUAAGACUGGGAUAACUCCGGGAAACCGGGGCUAAUACCGGAUAAUUCUUUCCCUCACAUGAGGGAAAGCUGAAAGAUGGUUUCGGCUAUCACUUACAGAUGGGCCCGCGGCGCAUUAGCUAGUUGGUGAGGUAACGGCUCACCAAGGCGACGAUGCGUAGCCGACCUGAGAGGGUGAUCGGCCACACUGGGACUGAGACACGGCCCAGACUCCUACGGGAGGCAGCAGUAGGGAAUCUUCCGCAAUGGACGAAAGUCUGACGGAGCAACGCCGCGUGAGUGAUGAAGGUUUUCGGAUCGUANAACUCUGUUGUCAGGGAAGGCAAGUAUCGGAGUAACUGCCGGUACCUUGACGGUACCUGACCAGAAAGCCACGGCUAACUACGUGCCAGCAGCCGCGGUAAUACGU